RNAcentral lists this microRNA (24 nucleotides) under Callorhinchus milii (elephant shark). Its description in RNAcentral is "eshark_NOVEL_287". Lineage: Eukaryota; Metazoa; Chordata; Chondrichthyes; Chimaeriformes; Callorhinchidae. The record is from RNAcentral.
CCUCUCUGUGCUCCCGUUGGGGAC